GGCUGAGAGUAGUGGACACAGAGCCCUGUGCUAAAAAGAGCAGCGACACCAGGCCAGAGACUGUACUUAUAGAGUAACGUCUGUUUGCAAGGUUGGGCCUUACAGAGUGUCUGGGAAUACAGAUUGUGAACUAUGAAGAAAACCAAUCCCAGAACUAAUGGGAGCGGCUUACUGUGCCCAAACUGUGUAACAAAACAGUCUACAAUCAACAUCUGCUUUUCUUCUGGGAAUCUGGAGUUUCGGCACGUUUUAGAGCCUCCCCAGGGCAAGCCCUCCUGAAACUGACCUCUCAGGUCCUGCUGUGUGCGUGCAGCGCCCGUGCUCUGCCUCGGCAUUCGAAGAGAAGUUCUCAGGGGCGUGUGUCUCUGCUCAUCCAGCCACCAAGUUGCAGAUGCUACCAUGACACCAACCUGACUUCUCUGGACAGAUGACAUCACUGAUGUCCCCUAGACCCCACCUCCCCAGAGCCCUGCCCCACUAGGGAAAGAUAGAACAGGCUGGGGG
Erinaceus europaeus (western European hedgehog) is the source of this 504-nucleotide long non-coding RNA. RefSeq lists it as uncharacterized. The transcript is spliced from 3 exons. The record is from RefSeq and is a predicted model, not a curated record. NCBI's taxonomy places the organism in Eukaryota, Metazoa, Chordata, Mammalia, Eulipotyphla, Erinaceidae.